This is a long non-coding RNA of Equus asinus (donkey), 2445 nucleotides long. NCBI's taxonomy places the organism in Eukaryota, Metazoa, Chordata, Mammalia, Perissodactyla, Equidae. The record is from Ensembl.
CGUGCAGCGCCUCCAUGUGGAUUUGAUACCGACCCUGAUAUCAAUUUCCCCACAUUAAACCCAGCAUAUAUGAGGUUAAAACCAAAGCACUCAUUCCCCACUUACUCUCUGGCUUCCGGGCUCCAGAAUCCAUUAUCCUCCAUGGAGACAGACACCGUCAAGGACAAGCACCUGGAUUAUCUCCUCCCCACAAAGAGAUACAGGCUGGUGGGAAAGCUGCUGACCAGCAAGGUCACGGGCUCCCUCCUCUCUGCAAGUAGUCUCAAGGCCAAAGACAGGCUGGUGGGAAAGCUCCGACCAGCAAGGCCAUAUGCUCCCCCUCCCCUACCUAAAGCCCCAAAUAAAAACCCUUCCUUUUAGCUUUUCGGGGAGUUUGGGAUUUCAGCGUUAGCUGCCCUCUCUUCUUGCUCAGCGCUGUGCAAAAAUAGAAUUCCUACUUUCUUCCACCACCCCCGGUGUCAGAGAUUAGCUUGCUGCGCAACGGGACCGGCCGGAAAUAAUGGGUACCUUGGCAGCCCUCUGGGCUCUGUUUGUUUUGAAGUCGCCGCGACGCCCCGGCCAAAUUUUGAGUUAAGAAAACCUUUUUCUCUAUUCUCUUAAAGAACUAUGACUUACAGGAAUUCAUAAACAAAAUUGAAACAUUUGUCUUUUCCUCCCUAUCUGAGCCCUCCAAAACGUAAAAACCCCUGAUGAGUAAGUAUUCUUAUUCUUAUGGCAAUAUAGUUGUUUGCAUAAGUACAAUAAGAAUCUGUUCUUCUUUUAACAGGACACAAUUGGAAACACUAUUUAUAUUACCAAGGCAUUGACUGGAACAUCAUAUUUGAAAAAACAUACAGGCUUAAAUAUAACAAGACAGGUUUUGAGGAAUGAAGGUUGACAUUCUGGAAUAAAGCCACUUGAAAAUAUUGGCCUGGUACUGUGCUUAUGGGUUCUGUAACCUGGUAAGGUUGAGCAAAGAAUGUCGCUCCUUUUGGCAGGUACAAGGAACCUCAAUAUUUUGGGGAACCUCAUGAAGAGAGGGAUUCGCCCAAAUCUGCAGGUACUGCAGGCAGAAUCUGAUAACAGGUCCUUUGCUUGGCUUUCCUUGAGAGGCCUUUAAAGAUCAACCUGAGAUUCGUUAUAAGAUUCCAGCAAAGCAGAUUUAAAAGAGCCUGUGUGAUCAAUUACUAUUCUUGCUGUACUUAUGUAAAUAAUUAUGCCAAAUUUAUUAAAACUAAACAUUGUUCAAAUCAGUUAGUCUUAAUUUGGCUAUGUCUAGUAAAAUUGAGGGUGAUUUUCAGGAGGAAAAUUAUGUUUCAAUAGAAACUAUAAUACAUGUUUAUAAAUAUUGGAUCUUAGUUUUUUCAACUAUCUUUGAAAUUUUUGUUUUACUUCUGUUAACUGGACUGGAUCUUGAAUUCUUCAUCUCCUGAAAUAUCUGGCUAAAAACGUCCAAACUAACAUUUUCAGGUUUUUUCCCCAUUAUUUUCAUUUGGAGUCAUUGAAAACUAAAUCUGCCCUUUUUCCUAAAGCCUUACAAACUGAAGCUGGAGGACCUAAUAUAAACUUAAGAGAGAUUCAUGUCUACUGCUGUGUAAGCCACUCAAAAAGCUACCUGAGUGCCCAAUGACACCAUCAGAGACAUUUCAAACUGCAAAAGAUGCUUUGACCCUGACUUCUAGGAAUCUUGAUUGGCUGCCCCCUGGGCUCAAAAGCUGGUUUAUAAUUUGCUCCAACCAUUAACCUUGUUUUUCUCUUUUUGUUUCUUUAGAAAAACUUCUUAUUAAAUAACUGGUUACUUACUUAUAUGAUACAGGCCUAACUUAAGGAGCCCACCAGCAUCACUGCCUUAUUUAAAGACUGGUUCAAUGAGAUGAAACAACCUACACCCCAUUUCAGCAGGAAGUAGCUAGAUCGGUCAUCACCCCAAAUCCCUCAAGAUUGAAGGAUGGACAUAAAAGAGGGGGGAGUUGAUACCGAUCCUGAUAUCAAUUUCCCCACAUUAAACCCAGCAUAUAUGAGGUUAAAACCAAAAUACUCAUUCCCCGCUUACUCUCUGGCUUCCGGGCUCCAGAAUCCACUAUCCUCCAUGGAGACAGACAGCGUCAAGGACAAGCACCUGGACUAUCUCCUCCCACAGAGAUACAGGCUGGUGGGAAAGCUGCUGACCAGCAAGGUCAUGGGCUUCCUCCUCUCUGCAAGUGUCUCAAGGCCAAAGACAGGCUGGUGGGAAAGCUCCGACCAGCAAGGUCACGGGCUUCCUCCUCUCUGCAAGUGUCUCAAGGCCAAAGACAGGCUGGUGGGAAAGCUCCGACCAGCAAGGCCAUAUGCUCCCCCUCCACUACCUAAAGCCCCAAAUAAAAACCCUUCUUUUUAGCUUUUCAGGGAGUUUGGGAUUUCAGCGUUAGCCGCCCUCUCUCCUUGCUCAGCACUGUGCAAAAAUAAAGUUCCUACUUUCUUCCACCA